AAUAGAUACCCAGGUAGUCCACGCCGUAAACGAUGAGUGCUAAGUGUUAGGGGGUUUCCGCCCCUUAGUGCUGCAGCUAACGCAUUAAGCACUCCGCCUGGGGAGUACGGUCGCAAGACUGAAACUCAAAGGAAUUGACGGGGGCCCGCACAAGCGGUGGAGCAUGUGGUUUAAUUCGAAGCAACGCGAAGAACCUUACCAGGUCUUGACAUCCCAUUGACCGCUAUGGAGACAUAGCUUUCCCUUCGGGGACAGUGGUGACAGGUGGUGCAUGGUUGUCGUCAGCUCGUGUCGUGAGAUGUUGGGUUAAGUCCCGCAACGAGCGCAACCCUUGUUCUUAGUUGCCAUCAUUUAGUUGGGCACUCUAAGGAGACUGCCGGUGACAAACCGGAGGAAGGUGGGGAUGACGUCAAAUCAUCAUGCCCCUUAUGACCUGAGCUACACACGUGCUACAAUGGACGGUACAAACGGUUGCCAACCCGCGAGGGGGAGCUAAUCCGAUAAAACCGUUCUUAGUUCGGAUUGUAGGCUGCAACUCGCCUACA
RNAcentral lists this ribosomal RNA (545 nucleotides) under uncultured bacterium. RNAcentral's name for it is "bacterial SSU rRNA". It matches the Rfam family "Bacterial small subunit ribosomal RNA", at positions 777 to 1320 of the family's 1533-position model. The record is from RNAcentral.